GCCUUCGUGGUGUAGUGAGCAGCACGCUGGGUGCGUAUUCCAGAGGCCCGUGGUUCGAGUCCCGGCGAAGGCG
Molecule: transfer RNA, 73 nt
Filed under: Stegodyphus mimosarum
Lineage: Eukaryota; Metazoa; Arthropoda; Arachnida; Araneae; Eresidae
Rfam family: tRNA
About the family: Transfer RNA (tRNA) molecules are approximately 80 nucleotides in length. Their secondary structure includes four short double-helical elements and three loops (D, anti-codon, and T loops).
Source: Rfam by way of RNAcentral